CGGGUGAGUAACGCGUGAGGAACCUGCCUCAGAGAGGGGGAUAACACACCGAAAGGUGUGCUAAUACCGCAUAACAUAUGANAGGGGCAUCCCUUUCAUAUCAAAGAUUUAUUGCUCUGAGAUGGCCUCGCGUCCAAUUAGCUAGUUGGUGAGGUAACGGCCCACCAAGGCGACGAUUGGUAGCCGGACUGAGAGGUUGAACGGCCACAUUGGGACUGAGACACGGCCCAGACUCCUACGGAAGGCAGCAG
Molecule: ribosomal RNA, 251 nt
Filed under: uncultured bacterium
Lineage: Bacteria
Description: partial 16S ribosomal RNA
Rfam family: Bacterial small subunit ribosomal RNA
Source: RNAcentral